GAGUUUGAUCAUGGCUCAGAUUGAACGCUGGCGGCAUGCCUUACACAUGCAAGUCGAACGGCAGCAUGAUCUAGCUUGCUAGAUUGAUGGCGAGUGGCGAACGGGUGAGUAAUACAUCGGAACGUGCCCUGUAGUGGGGAGUAACUAGUCGAAGAUUAGCUAAUACCGCAUACGACCUGAGGGCGGAAAGUGGGGGACCGCAAGGCCUCAUGCUAUAGGAGCGGCCGAUGUCUGAUUAGCUAGUUGGUGGGGUAAAGGGCCCACCAAGGCGACGAUCAGUAGCUGGUCUGAGAGGACGAUCAGCCACACUGGGACUGAGACACGGCCCAGACUCCUACGGGAGGCAGCAGUGGGGAAUUUUGGACAAUGGGCGAAAGCCUGAUCCAGCAAUGCCGCGUGUGUG
RNAcentral lists this ribosomal RNA (403 nucleotides) under uncultured microorganism. RNAcentral's name for it is "bacterial SSU rRNA". It matches the Rfam family "Bacterial small subunit ribosomal RNA", at positions 9 to 407 of the family's 1533-position model. The record is from RNAcentral.